This 253-nucleotide ribosomal RNA is filed under the name uncultured bacterium. Its description in RNAcentral is "partial 16S ribosomal RNA". It matches the Rfam family "Bacterial small subunit ribosomal RNA", at positions 524 to 776 of the family's 1533-position model. The record is from RNAcentral.
UACGUAGGGUGCAAGCGUUAAUCGGAAUUACUGGGCGUAAAGCGUGUGCAGGCGGCUUAUCAAGUGGUGUAUGAAAUAUCCAGGCUCAACCUGGAGGGGUUAUGCCAGACUGGUAGGCUAGAGUGCGAGAGAGGGGCGUGGAAUUCCGGGUGUAGUGGUGAAAUGCGUAGAGAUCCGGAGGAACCCCAGAGGCGAAGGCGGCGCCCUGGCUCGACACUGACGCUCAGACACGACAGCAUGAGGAGCGAACGGG